UCCAUUAUUGAUGAAUAAAUUAGCGCAAGGCUCUUAAAGAGCCCUUCCCCUAAGCCCGAAACAGGAAUCGUUUCGGGCUAUUUUUU
Molecule: small RNA, 86 nt
Filed under: fish gut metagenome
Source: RNAcentral